AGCCCAAACUCUUCCCUCUGCUGACAGCAAAUUUUAGGCAAAGUCUUGAGAAAGAAGAAAUUGGGGCCAGAAAGGGAAGUGAGGAGAAUCAGAUCCCAGACCUUUGGGGAGAAGGAGCAACCGCCUCUGGCACAGCCCAUCAGGGAGAAAGAGCAGGUACCUUCCUCUGGAAACUGGGGGUGAGGUCAUUUCCCCACCAUGACUGUGCCCUUCACCUGGACAGUGCCACGUCAGCAGUGUGCCCGUCUUCAACAGCAUGCAGCAGCCUGAAGUGAAGACCUGGGGUGGAGUGGUGACAGCUGCCAUGGUCAUAGCCCUCGCUGUCUACAUGGGGACAGGCAUCUGUGGCUUCCUGACCUUUGGAGCUGCUGUGGAUCCUGAUGUGCUCCUGUCCUAUCCCUCGGAGGACAUGGCUGUGGCCGUUGCCCGAGCCUUCAUCAUCCUGAGCGUGCUCACCUCCUACCCUAUCCUGCACUUCUGUGGGCGGGCUGUGCCUCAUUCAAGCCAAACUCUCUGAGAUGGAAGAGGUCAAACCAGCCAGCUGGUGGGUGCUGGUCAGCUACGGAGUCCUCUUGGUCACCCUGGGAGCCUUCAUCUUUGGCCAGACCACAGCCAACGCCAUCUUUGUGGAUCUCUUGGCAUAACC
Molecule: small RNA, 646 nt
Filed under: Pongo abelii (Sumatran orangutan)
Lineage: Eukaryota; Metazoa; Chordata; Mammalia; Primates; Hominidae
Description: processed transcript
Source: RNAcentral